UUGUGUGUGUAAUUGUUGAGAAAUAGCCGGCUUUUUUUGUGCUCCUGAGUCCUGUUGCUUUUCUGAUUUCAUUUGAGUGUUUUGAUGAAUGUUUGGUCUACGUGUACUUGUAAUUAGCAGAUAUUGAACAGCUGAGCAUCAUCUCAUUGAUUAUCCAUUUCAAGUACCAGAUGAUAUGAAUUUUGAUGACAUCAACUGCAAUUUAGAGUUUGUUCCUGGAAGAAGAGAAGAGACGGCGACGGCAAUACCCGUCACGCCCAACGGACUACUCUCACGAGGCCCAACGUCACGGUACAUUUAUUAUAUUUUCACGUUCUCAGUCGAGUUCUCAGUGGCCCUGAUGAUCCUCUUGGUAAGUCUGUAUAACUCUCUCUCUCUCUCUUUUAUUUUAUUUAUUUAUUUUUUCUUUUUUAAAUAUUAUAUUAUUUUCUCUUGGUGUAGUACCAACUAAC
This is a long non-coding RNA of Aphidius gifuensis, 452 nucleotides long. RefSeq lists it as uncharacterized. The record is from RefSeq and is a predicted model, not a curated record. NCBI's taxonomy places the organism in Eukaryota, Metazoa, Arthropoda, Insecta, Hymenoptera, Braconidae. The transcript is spliced from 4 exons.